This 458-nucleotide ribosomal RNA is filed under the name uncultured bacterium. Its description in RNAcentral is "partial 16S ribosomal RNA". It matches the Rfam family "Bacterial small subunit ribosomal RNA", at positions 338 to 795 of the family's 1533-position model. The record is from RNAcentral.
CCUACGGGAGGCAGCAGUGAGGAAUAUUGGUCAAUGGGCGAGAGCCUGAACCAGCCAAGCCGCGUGAGGGAGUACUGCCCUAUGGGUUGUAAACCUCUUUUGUCGGGGAGCAAAAGCCGGACGUGUCCGGCUGCGAGAGUUCCCUAAGAAAAAGCAUUGGCUAACUCCGGUCCAGCAGCCGGGGUAAUUAGGAGGAUGCGAGCGUUAUCCGGAUUUAUUGGGUUUUACGGGUUCGCAGGCGGAUUUUUAAGUCAGCGGUAAAAUCGUGGGGCUCAACCCCGUCCAGCCGUUGAAACUGGGGAUCUAGAGUGUGCGAGAGGUAUGCGGAAUGCGUGGUGUAGCGGUGAAAUGCAUAGAUAUCACGCAGAACCCCGAUUGCGAAGGCAGCAUACCGGUGCACAACUGACGCUCAGGCACGAAAGCGUGGGGAGCAAACAGGAUUAGAUACCCUUGUAGUC